Molecule: microRNA, 21 nt
Filed under: Zea mays
Lineage: Eukaryota; Viridiplantae; Streptophyta; Magnoliopsida; Poales; Poaceae
Description: microRNA miR-3248
Source: RNAcentral
UGUGUCUUGGUUGUAUGGUUG